Long non-coding RNA from Harpegnathos saltator (Jerdon's jumping ant), 339 nucleotides. RefSeq lists it as uncharacterized. The record is from RefSeq and is a predicted model, not a curated record. The transcript has 3 exons. Lineage: Eukaryota; Metazoa; Arthropoda; Insecta; Hymenoptera; Formicidae.
UUCAUGUAUAUAUGCGCGCGCACGAAGCGUCACACGAGCAGCACAGAGAAUGCGAGUGUAAAAGAGAAAGAAAUCAUGCAGUGUGACAGCAAGUACAAUAAAACAACGCUGCGUACAACUCCGUCACGAAAGGCCUAUUGUUCCACUGCAUAUACGCUGUGAGAAACAAAGCAACAAAGAGCAAAUUCCAGCGCGAGUUGACACCAAACAAACCAUGUUCCAGUCUAAGAAGCCACGGAAGAACUGCCGAAGAGAGAGAGAACAUACACAUACACACUGUAGGGGCAGAGGAUAACAGAUGUACCUCAUGAACGAGUAAAGUUGUCACUAGUUGAAGAA